This is a non-coding RNA of Momordica charantia (bitter melon), 3197 nucleotides long. The record is from RefSeq and is a predicted model, not a curated record. NCBI's taxonomy places the organism in Eukaryota, Viridiplantae, Streptophyta, Magnoliopsida, Cucurbitales, Cucurbitaceae.
UAAGCUCUUAGCUGUACAAUACAAAGGCCGUAGUUACCGAUACUGAAGAAGAAAAAGAUCUGCAACUCUCUCUCUCUCUCUCUCUCUCUCUCUCUCUUCUUCUUCUUCUUCUUUUUUUUUCUCUGUUUCUCAGUCGCGCACGAAGCUCUUCGCUGGUGGAUCGCUUGAGCUUUUUUUGUCAGUUUGGAAGGCUGCUCAGCAAGAAGUCAUCGCGUUUCGUCUGCUGAUUUCGUAGGUUGGCAUACAUGGCGAGUCGAGUGAAGGAGGAUGAGAAGAACGAACGGAUUAUUCGCGGUCUUCUGAAACUUCAGGAGAAUCGCCGGUGCAUCAACUGCAACAGUCUGGGACCACAGUACGUUUGCACAAAUUUCUGGACGUUUGUUUGCACAACCUGUAGUGGAAUACACCGUGAGUUCACACACCGGGUAAAAUCUAUAUCAAUGGCCAAAUUUACUUCUCAAGAAGUCAGCGCUCUUCAAGAAGGGGGAAAUCAGCGUGCAAAGGACAUUUACUUCAAAGAGUUGGAUCCACAGCGUCAUUCUUUCCCUGACAGCAGUAAUGUUAUGAGACUCAGAGACUUUAUUAAGCAUGUUUAUGUGGAUAGAAGAUAUAGUGGUGAUAGGAACUUUGACAAGCCGCCUAGGGGAAAAACAGGUGAGAAAGAGGAAUCUUAUGAAACCAGGAGAACAGAUACAUAUCAAGGCGGUUCUAGAAGCCCACCAUAUGAAGACCGCCGUUACAAUGAAAAGUCUAGUCCUGGUGGCAGAAGCUUUGUUGAUGAGCGAAGAAGUCCAGGAUCCGAUCAAGAAAAUCGGCAGUAUGGUGAUUUUAGGAGGAGUCCUGCUCGUCCUGAGGUUGUGAAUGAUUGGCGUCGAGAAGAUAGAUUUGGAAAUGGAAAAAGAGUCGAAGAUGGAAGAUUAUCUGAUGGAGAUUCAAAAAUUGGAGGCAGGUCACCAGAGCGACCAAAUGAUUUGGAUUCUUCCAGUCCUCCCACAAUUCGACCUGUUAGGGAUAUUCUGGGAGAGAGCAUAUCUCCUCUAUGUGUAAUUGAACCGCCAAAAAGCAGUGGUAGCAAGGUUACUGAUAGCUCCGUGCAUAAACAGAGAACCGCUUCUUCCAGUAGCUUAGGAUCCAUCAGUGAGAAUAUCGUGGAAACUAAAGUGGAGCCUGCCGGAAGUUUAAUUGAUUUUGAUGCGGAGCCUGAACCUAUUGCUUCAGCAGUUCCACAGCCACCCCAAAGUUCUGCUCCGCAAUCUGUAACAGACACAGUGACCACUAAUAACGACAACAAUUGGGCCUCAUUUGAUGUCACCCCGCAGGCGCCUCCUGCUCCUGCUAAUGUUGGCACAUUUGAGUCUGUGCUUUCCCAAUUAUCAGUUUCAGCUUCUGUACCUGGUGUUUCUGGAUCACAUGGUGCUACUGGUGCUGUACCUGCUGCACCUGUAGGCAACAUGACAACGUUACCAACAGGUUUUGAUCCCAAUUUUGGAUCAGGAGGGAACACCCAUAUGCCUCCUCCCUUUGCUGGUGGAGCACCUUCACAUGCACCAGUGAGUGGCUUAUCAACAUUUCCUCCAUCAGGGCAAUGGCCUAACAUGCAGUCACAGGUGCAUUCUUUAUUUCCUGGUGGUAAUUCUCAGCCUGUGGCUCAACAAUUUCCAUCAUCGAAUGACAGAUCCAUCAAUCAGCCGUGGAAUGCUUCACUUCCUGCUAAUUCCCAAGGACCUCUAAGUAAUCCAGCUGCACAUGCACCCCAAGAUUUUUCAAGUCACGCGCAGCCAAUAGCUUCUGGUGUGUCACAUACUCCUGCACCAGAAGUAAAGUCGAGUGGGAGAACAGAACUGCCAGCUGAUCUUUUUGCUCUUAAUUACUCAUCCUUCCCUGCACCAGUUCCAGGGUGGCAAACUGUUCCACCACGUGCCAUGGGAUAUAUAAUGCCAUAUAAUUCCACAAUGCCCGUGCCAAGUUUUCCACAAUCUGCAACAUCUACAAACCCAUUUGAUCUGAGCAGCGAACAAUCUCAAUUUCCUUCCAUGGCACCGUUGCAAAAUGCUUUACCAAGUGGGCAACCUACAUCAAAUUUAAUGCAUUCUUCCGGCUAUGGUAAUCCUACAUCAACAUGGAUGCCACUCCAGCCACCGUCUAACUUAUCGCAAUUGCCUCCUCAGGCACCGUAUCCAUCUACAAUGCCUUCAACGCCAUACAUGGGACAGCAAGUAGCCAGCAAUGUACAACCUUAUAGGCAUCCUGGACUUGGCAACUAUGGUAACCAGGGGGCCGCUCAUGGGUACACUGAUAUGGGUCAGCAGACAGCCAGUAGAUUCACGGCACCUGCUACUCCGAACCCCUUCUCGUCCAUGGGAGGUAACCCAUUUGGAUAAUGAGAGAAUGGAAAUGAUGUCCCUCACCCAGUUAGCCCUGGCAUUGUCUUAUUGCUCACCACCAAAUCCCUCGGUGAAGAGGUUUUGGUUAUAUACCAUCCAUUGCAAAUGCUUAUCAUAUUCUGUUUUAUCAGUGAGAUUGAAGAGUCAAAUUAUCUGGUUGGCACUGUACAUUUUGUUUGAUGGUCCGGUCCGGGGGGAGGUCUAAAGAGAGAAGUCAGAAUUAUAGGUUCAACCAAGAUUUGCUUCAAUGGAGGCGUAGAUUAUUUUUCUAGGCCACGGUGGUGAAUUUAGGAGUUAGUAAAGAGUUCCAUCGGGUUUAUUUGUGCGUUCAUUUGCCUUUUCCUCUUAAAGUUGUAUCAUUUGUUUCUGUUUGUAUCUUUUUUACUCUCUUUUUGCCAAUUACAUAAUUUGUUUAUUGUUGUGAGUUAUUAUUAUAUAUUGUUAUCUCGUCUGAAAAAAUUUGUAGCAGACAGAUCAAAUUUGCAGGCUUUGCAGCAACGGUUCAGUGAAACUCUGUUUGCAUACUAAAGAUGUUGAAAAAAAUCAUUGGCUCCAGAUCGCAUCAGCAAAGAAUAGAAUAUUGGAGGAAUUUGGAGCCGCUCGUUGAAUGAAUGUUUUGAGGUGUUACUGCUCAGCUCUCAUACUGAUCCUACCAUCUGCCUGUUCUUCCAUAUCACUGGAGCCAUCAGCAUCCAUACUGCAACACACACAGAUCCUCUUUCAGAAGUAUUUUCUAUUUCUUGGGGGUGUUUGGACAUAGCCUUCAAAAUGGUUUUCCAUUCUUGAAAAAAAAGUCGGGUCUUUUUAGGAUAA